This 497-nucleotide ribosomal RNA is filed under the name uncultured bacterium. Its description in RNAcentral is "partial 16S ribosomal RNA". It matches the Rfam family "Bacterial small subunit ribosomal RNA", at positions 28 to 507 of the family's 1533-position model. The record is from RNAcentral.
GAUGAACGCUGGCGGCGUGCCUAAUACAUGCAAGUCGAGCGAACAGACGAGGAGCUUGCUCCUCUGACGUUAGCGGCGGACGGGUGAGUAACACGUGGAUAACCUACCUAUAAGACUGGGAUAACUUCGGGAAACCGGAGCUAAUACCGGAUAAUAUAUUGAACCGCAUGGUUCAAUAGUGAAAGACGGUUUUGCUGUCACUUAUAGAUGGAUCCGCGCCGCAUUAGCUAGUUGGUAAGGUAACGGCUUACCAAGGCAACGAUGCGUAGCCGACCUGAGAGGGUGAUCGGCCACACUGGAACUGAGACACGGUCCAGACUCCUACGGGAGGCAGCAGUAGGGAAUCUUCCGCAAUGGGCGAAAGCUUGACGGAGCAACGCCGCGUGAGUGAUGAAGGUCUUCGGAUCGUAAAACUCUGUUAUUAGGGAACAACAAAUGUGUAAGUAACUAUGCACGUCUUGACGGUACCUAAUCAGAAAGCCACGGCUAACUACGUG